AUCCCCUCUCCUUACUCCAGGUGCUACUAGUGCAAUGUGGUGUCCUGGCAUUGUGUGGGGAUAGAGGACUAGGCUGUCUUCCCUCCCCAGCUGUAACUCUUAUACCUGGGGCCUAUAAGAGAGCCAACAUG
Molecule: small nucleolar RNA, 131 nt
Filed under: Lepisosteus oculatus (spotted gar)
Lineage: Eukaryota; Metazoa; Chordata; Actinopteri; Semionotiformes; Lepisosteidae
Description: Small nucleolar RNA SNORA49
Rfam family: Small nucleolar RNA SNORA49
About the family: The snoRNA ACA49 has no identified RNA target. NB genomic sequence 1-nt different from published.
Source: Rfam by way of RNAcentral